UAGGGAAUCUUCCGCAAUGGGCGAAAGCCUGCCGGAGCAACGCCGCGUGAGUGAUGAAGGUCUUCGGAUCGUAAAACUCUGUUAUUAGGGAAGAACAAAUGUGUAAGUAACUAUGCACGUCUUGACGGUACCUAAUCAGAAAGCCACGGCUAACUACGUGCCAGCAGCCGCGGUAAUACGUAGGUGGCAAGCGUUAUCCGGAAUUAUUGGGCGUAAAGCGCGCGUAGGCGGUUUUUUAAGUCUGAUGUGAAAGCCCACGGCUCAACCGUGGAGGGUCAUUGGAAACUGGAAAACUUGAGUGCAGAAGAGGAAAGUGGAAUUCCAUGUGUAGCGGUGAAAUGCGCAGAGAUAUGGAGGAACACCAGUGGCGAAGGCGACUUUCUGGUCUGUAACUGACGCUGAUGUGCGAAAGCGUGGGGAUCAAACAGG
This 429-nucleotide ribosomal RNA is filed under the name Actinomycetes bacterium. RNAcentral's name for it is "Actinobacteria bacterium partial 16S ribosomal RNA". It matches the Rfam family "Bacterial small subunit ribosomal RNA", at positions 355 to 776 of the family's 1533-position model. Lineage: Bacteria; Bacillati; Actinomycetota; Actinomycetes. The record is from RNAcentral.